CGGAAGUGUUGAAAGACGAAGGAAAAGUGGAGGAGAGAAUGGUGACGGAAUUGUACAGAGUUUUGAAGCUUAUGGAAAUGGAUUUAGCUAUGGUGAGUGCUGCUGUUAAAGAAGAAACAUUGAAUAAAAGACUUGAACAAGCUAAAGCACGUUGUAGGCAAGCCAUUCUUGUUGCUAAUUCUUUUUGACAAAUUUGUAGCAUCUUUGUUUCACUUGUACUGUAUUUAAGUCUGUAUUUCAUUAUCGACGAGCACGACCCAGAAAGCAAAAAUCCUUGCUUUUGCUGGCUAGGGUUAAAUAUUGACACCUCCAAUAUGAAAGUCCCGAGUCCAAACCACGAGGUCACCUCGAAAGGAUUGUAGAUUUCAUUUUUG
This 374-nucleotide unclassified non-coding RNA is filed under the name Hevea brasiliensis (rubber tree). The record is from RNAcentral. Lineage: Eukaryota; Viridiplantae; Streptophyta; Magnoliopsida; Malpighiales; Euphorbiaceae.